RNAcentral lists this ribosomal RNA (369 nucleotides) under uncultured organism. RNAcentral's name for it is "bacterial SSU rRNA". It matches the Rfam family "Bacterial small subunit ribosomal RNA", at positions 526 to 896 of the family's 1533-position model. The record is from RNAcentral.
CGUAGGGGGCAAGCGUUAUCCGGAAUUAUUGGGCGUAAAGAGUGCGUAGGUGGUUUUGUAAGCGCGAGGUGAAAGGCAAUAGCUCAACUAUUGUAAGCCUUGUGAACUGCAAGACUUGAGUGCAGGAGAGGAAAGUGGAAUUCCUAGUGUAGCGGUGAAAUGCGUAGAUAUUAGGAGGAACACCAGUGGCGAAGGCGACUUUCUGGACUGUAACUGACACUGAGGCACGAAAGCGUGGGGAGCAAACAGGAUUAGAUACCCUGGUAGUCCACGCCGUAAACGAUGAGCACUGGGUGUCGGGGCCGCAAGGUUUCGGUGCCGCAGUUAACGCAUUAAGUGCUCCGCCUGGGGAGUACGCACGCAAGUGUG